UACAGAGGUCCCGAGCGUUGUUCGGAUUCAUUGGGCGUAAAGGGUGCGUAGGCGGUCCACUAAGUUUGAUGUGAAAUCCCGGGGCUCAACCCUGGAAUUGCCUUUGAUACUGGCUAUCUUGAGUACGGAAGAGGUAUGUGGAACUCCGAGUGUAGAGGUGAAAUUCGUAGAUAUUCGGAAGAACACCAGUGGCGAAGGCGACAUACUGGUCCGUUACUGACGCUGAGGCUCGAAAGCGUGGGGAGCAAACAGG
Molecule: ribosomal RNA, 253 nt
Filed under: uncultured bacterium
Lineage: Bacteria
Description: partial 16S ribosomal RNA
Rfam family: Bacterial small subunit ribosomal RNA
Source: RNAcentral